Molecule: ribosomal RNA, 529 nt
Filed under: uncultured bacterium
Lineage: Bacteria
Description: bacterial SSU rRNA
Rfam family: Bacterial small subunit ribosomal RNA
Source: RNAcentral
AGAUAAUAGAUACCCAGGUAGUCCACGCCCUAAACGAUGCAUAUUUGGUGUGGGCAGUUCAUUCUGUCCGUGCCGGAGCUAACGCGUUAAAUAUGCCGCCUGGGGAGUACAGUCGCAAGGCUGAAACUCAAAGGAAUUGACGGGGGCCCGCACAAGCGGUGGAGCAUGUGGUUCAAUUCGACGCAACGCGAAGAACCUUACCUGGGCUCGAACGGCUGAUCAACGGCGGUGGAAACAUCGCUACCCCGCAAGGGGGUUCAGUCGAGGUGCUGCAUGGCUGUCGUCAGCUCGUGUCGUGAGAUGUUGGGUUAAGUCCCGCAACGAGCGCAACCCUUGUCCUGUGUUGCCAUACCGAAAGGUGGAACUCGCAGGAGACCGCCAGGGAUAACCUGGAGGAAGGUGGGGAUGACGUCAAGUCCUCAUGGCCUUUAUGUCCAGGGCUACACACGUGCUACAAUGGACGGUACAAAGCGCAGCGAACUCGCGAGAGGGAGCCAAUCGCAAAAAACCGUUCUCAGUUCGGAUUGCA